AGUUUAAAGUAAAUAAUUUAAAUGAAUCCUGCCCAGUGAAUUUUAAAUGGCCGCAGUACCCUGACUGUGCUAAGGUAGCAUAAUAAAUUGGCUUUUAAUUGAAGUCUGGAAUGAAUGGAAAUUUGAAAAAAAACUGUCUUAAAAAUAUUUUUAUUAAUUUAAUUAUUAGGUGAAAAUACCUAUUUUUAGAAAAAAGACGAGAAGACCCUUAGAAUUUUGAUAAUAUUAAAAAUAUUUAAUUUAUUUUUGUUGGGGCGACAAUUAAACAAAAUAUAACUUAAAUUAAAAUUAUAAAACGAAAUUGUUAUAAUAGAAUAAAUUACCUUAGGGAUAACAGCAUAAUUUUAUUAAAAAGUUUGUGACCUCGAUGUUGGACUAGGAACUUUAUGACUAGCAGUUAGAAUAGAUUUGUUCUGUUCGAACAAUUAAAUCCU
RNAcentral lists this ribosomal RNA (434 nucleotides) under Protancylus pileolus. RNAcentral describes it as "partial large subunit ribosomal RNA". Lineage: Eukaryota; Metazoa; Mollusca; Gastropoda; Protancylidae. The record is from RNAcentral.